Molecule: long non-coding RNA, 1534 nt
Organism: Lepisosteus oculatus (spotted gar)
Lineage: Eukaryota; Metazoa; Chordata; Actinopteri; Semionotiformes; Lepisosteidae
Source: Ensembl
CUCUACAGCAUGUGCUGUAGAGAGAUAGGUAACAGUGUGCUGCAUAAGUUUCCCAGAAUAUGCUGCUGUUUAUUUCUGCCUUUUUUUUCCUGCCACUGCAGUGCAUUUAAACCUUGAAUUUGUCACAAUUACAACAUACUUCUAUUUUCAGAGUUUUGCUAAGAUGCAACAACAUGUCUCUAAGGGCCACUAUACAAAAGACAUCAGAUUUAGCUGUGGACAGUCUUUGUGGAUGAGCCCCUUGAGAACACUUGAAGAAACGUACACAUGCAAAGUUUCAGUUCAGGAUAUGACUGACAUACCCAUCAAGUCCAGAGGGACCAUUUACUCGAGUUGUGUAUUCCCGGACAGGAUAGAGUGGCUGUGGCUUUAAGAGAAGAAUCAUUGCCAGUAAGGAGCUGAUGUGUUGCGCUGGCAGCCAAUCACAAGUGCAGCUGCGAGUAUUAUCCUGCCAAUGAGAGCUCACGCUGGGCGGAGGUUACAAAACCAGACUGAACCCAAUGACUCAGCAAAGCCAAAUCCAUGCCAGAUGACACUACAGUGAAAUUUAAAGGGCUAGGACCUCAGGAUAGCAGAGCAGUGAAUAUUAAAAAGACAAGCCCAUCUGUUUUCCUCCCUCGGCCUUGCUCAAAUCAUGAGCCCGCAAGGCGCACCAGAUGCAGAUCAUUUUGAGUGAUACAGUUUUAUCUUCAGAGCAAUCCGUUACCUUUGACCACUAAGAAAGCACCAUGACUAAGCAUUCCUGGCACUGACACCAUCCUUAGAGGUAUAAGAUAUCCUUAGCUGAGAGAAAAGACCAGUGCCCACACUGUCUAUUAGCAUCUCCACACUCCCAAGCAAUUAGAAUCGUCUCGACUUGCUAAACCAAUUGAGCUCAGUUAUAUCACCACUCUAAAUAAAUAUGUAGGUAUGUGUCCAUCAGGCUCCUACAAUUCAGUUCAAUUUAAUUAUAUGAACUACAGCUGUUUUCAUGCACAAUGAGAAACACAGAAAAUGAUUAUUACCUUAAAAACAAAACAUGCAAUGUUUCCAUAUCAAUUCACACUAUCCACAAAUGGUAUUGAACAAUUAAAUUAAGCAAUGUGAAAACCGACUAAUAUCAUCACUAUGGAAUACAUAUAUACUCAAUAAAAUGCAUAUUAUUAAUAAUCAUAAUUAAUGGAAUGAGAUCUGUUUUUGUUCACAGACAUGAGAACAAGGCUCACGAGACAUUUCGAGCACAUUUCGUGAUGGCAGAGCUGUGCCCACCUAACGUGACUGUCUGGUGAAAAUCAGGCAUGACAGGCGUGUCCACGGUGUUUGGCAUGUAAGCUAAACCUGGACAACCACAUGUAGUCCAACAUAGCUCUGGAUUAGACGAGACUGCAGCCAAAACACAUUCAGCUUCAUGCUCCUAACCCAGCUGCAUUGAUCAGUAUCCUUAGAAAACAAUCCUGGUCUCUAACAGAAAAGUCAUUUUAACCUUCUGCAAAGUGGAUGGGACAUUUCCAAUAUGCAAAACAAGACUGCUUAAGGAUGAGGGGGGGAGGCAGAG